RNAcentral lists this ribosomal RNA (786 nucleotides) under Halopseudomonas sabulinigri. RNAcentral's name for it is "bacterial SSU rRNA". It matches the Rfam family "Bacterial small subunit ribosomal RNA", at positions 1 to 783 of the family's 1533-position model. Lineage: Bacteria; Pseudomonadati; Pseudomonadota; Gammaproteobacteria; Pseudomonadales; Pseudomonadaceae. The record is from RNAcentral.
AACUGAAGAGUUUGAUCAUGGCUCAGAUUGAACGCUGGCGGCAGGCCUAACACAUGCAAGUCGAGCGGUAGAAGGAAGCUUGCUUCCUUUGAGAGCGGCGGACGGGUGAGUAAUGCCUAGGAAUCUGCCUGGUAGUGGGGGAUAACGUUCGGAAACGGACGCUAAUACCGCAUACGUCCUACGGGAGAAAGCAGGGGACCUUCGGGCCUUGCGCUAUCAGAUGAGCCUAGGUCGGAUUAGCUUGUUGGUGAGGUAAUGGCUCACCAAGGCGACGAUCCGUAACUGGUCUGAGAGGAUGAUCAGUCACACUGGAACUGAGACACGGUCCAGACUCCUACGGGAGGCAGCAGUGGGGAAUAUUGGACAAUGGGCGAAAGCCUGAUCCAGCCAUGCCGCGUGUGUGAAGAAGGUCUUAGGAUUGUAAAGCACUUUAAGUUGGGAGGAAGGGUUGUAGUUUAAUACGCUGCAAUCUUGACGUUACCGACAGAAUAAGCACCGGCUAACUCUGUGCCAGCAGCCGCGGUAAUACAGAGGGUGCAAGCGUUAAUCGGAAUUACUGGGCGUAAAGCGCGCGUAGGUGGCAAAGUAAGAUGGGUGUGAAAUCCCCGGGCUCAACCUGGGAACUGCAUCCAUAACUGCUUCGCUAGAGUACGGUAGAGGGUAGUGGAAUUUCCUGUGUAGCGGUGAAAUGCGUAGAUAUAGGAAGGAACACCAGUGGCGAAGGCGACUACCUGGACUGAUACUGACACUGAGGUGCGAAAGCGUGGGGAGCAAACAGGAUUAGAU